AGAGUUUGAUCCUGGCUCAGGAUGAACGCUGGCGGCAUGCCUAAUACAUGCAAGUCGAACGAGGGUCCUUCGGGACUCGAGUGGCGAACGGGUGAGUAACACGUAGGGAACCUGCCCGUGCGACCGGGAGAACUUUCGGAAACGGAAGCUGAUACCGGAUAGGGACAGAGACGGCAUCGACUCUGUGUUAAAGGAGCUGCAAGGCUCCGCGCACGGAUGGACCUGCGGUGCAUUAGCUGGUUGGUGAGGUAACGGCCCACCAAGGCGACGAUGCAUAGCCGGCCUGAGAGGGCGGACGGCCACACUGGGACUGCGACACGGCCCAGACUCCUACGGGAGGCAGCAGUAGGGAAUUUUCGUCAAUGGGCGCAAGCCUGAACGAGCAAUGCCGCGUGAACGAGGAAGGUCUUCGGAUCGUAAAGUUCUGUUGAAGGGGAAAAAGAGCGGAGAGAGGAAAUGAACUCCGAUUGAUAUUACCCUUCGAGGAAGUCACGGCUAACUACGUGCCAGCAGCCGCGGUAAUACGUAGGUGGCGAGCGUUAUCCGGAAUGAUUGGGCGUAAAGGGUGCGUAGGCGGCCUGCUAAGUCUGGAGUGAAAGGUACCGGCUCAACCGGUAUAGGUUCUGGAAACUGGCGGGCUAGAGAGCAGGAGAGGGCGGUGGAACUCCAUGUGUAGCGGUAAAAUGCGUAGAUAUAUGGAAGAACACCAGUGGCGAAGGCGGCCGCCUGGCCUGUUACUGACGCUGAGGCACGAAAGCGUGGGGAGCAAAUAGGAUUAGAUACCCUAGUAGUCCACGCCGUAAACGAUGAGGACCAAGUGUUGGGGAAGACCCAGUGCUGCGGUUAACGCAGUGAGUCCUCCGCCUGGGGAGUAUGCACGCAAGUGUGAAACUCAAAGGAAUUGACGGGGGCCCGCACAAGCGGUGGAGUAUGUGGUUUAAUUCGAAGCAACGCGAAGAACCUUACCAGGGCUUGACAUCCUACUAACGAACCAGAGAUGGAUUAGGUGCCCUUCGGGGAAAGUAGAGACAGGUGGUGCAUGGUUGUCGUCAGCUCGUGUCGUGAGAUGUUGGGUUAAGUCCCGCAACGAGCGCAACCCCUAUUGUUAGUUGCUACGCAAGAGCACUCUAGCGAGACUGCCGUUGACAAAACGGAGGAAGGUGGGGACGACGUCAAAUCAUCAUGCCCCUUACGUCCUGGGCCACACACGUACUACAAUGGCGGCCAACAAAGAGAGGCAAGACCGCGAGGUGGAGCAAAUCUCAAAAAGCCGUCCCAGUUCGGAUCGCAGGUUGCAACCCGCCUGCGUGAAGUUGGAAUCGCUAGUAAUCGCGGAUCAGCAUGCCGCGGUGAAUACGUUCCCGGGCCUUGCACUCACCGCCCGUCAA
Molecule: ribosomal RNA, 1388 nt
Filed under: uncultured bacterium
Lineage: Bacteria
Description: bacterial SSU rRNA
Rfam family: Bacterial small subunit ribosomal RNA
Source: RNAcentral